UCGGGAGGUUGGCGCGGACGUGUUCCUCGCCAACCGGGUCAGGUCCGGAAGGAAGCAGCCCCAACGAGAUCCUCACGGGUCGUUUGCCAGCCUCCUACGCA
This 101-nucleotide signal recognition particle RNA is filed under the name Devosia crocina. RNAcentral's name for it is "Bacterial small signal recognition particle RNA". It matches the Rfam family "Bacterial small signal recognition particle RNA". From Rfam's summary of the family: The signal recognition particle (SRP) is a universally conserved ribonucleoprotein involved in the co-translational targeting of proteins to membranes. Archaeal SRP consists of a 7S RNA and homologues of the eukaryotic SRP19 and SRP54 proteins. In most bacteria, the SRP consists of a 4.5S RNA and the Ffh protein (a homologue of the eukaryotic SRP54 protein). The record is from RNAcentral. Lineage: Bacteria; Pseudomonadati; Pseudomonadota; Alphaproteobacteria; Hyphomicrobiales; Devosiaceae.